GAUGCUCUUGUUACGCAAGUAUUUAAAGCCAAAUAUUUUUUGAAUGAUCAUUUUUUAGAAUCUCGUUUAGGUGAUUCUGGUUCUUAUGUGUGGAAAAGUAUUUGGGCAGCGAAAGCUACGUUGGCAAAGGGACUAUGCUGGAGGGCUGGUACGGGUAUGAAUAUAUCGAUCAAUGAUGAUGCGUGGAUUCCAAAUGCAGUUAAUUUCAGAUUAUCUACUACGAUUAAUUAUAUGCGUAAUGUUAAAGUUAAUGAGCUAAUUGACAGUAAUAGAUUGUAGAAAAGAGAGUUGAUGAAGGAUAACUUCGCAGAAGAAGACGCUGAAAGAAUUCUCCGAAUCCCUUUGGCACGAACACUUGAUGAUGACUUCCUUAUCUGGGGGAGUGAAUCGUCGGGUGAAUUCUCGGUUCAAAGUGCCUAUAAACUAUUACAGAGUUGUGAUGAAAACUCUAGAGCUUAUGCUUUACAAACCAUCUACAGGAAUUUUUACAAAAAGCUUUGGACUUUGCAUUUACCAACAAAAAUAAAGAUUACAAUCUGGAGAUUCUCAUGGAAUUAUCUACCUACGAAAGUAAAUAUGCAGUACAUGAAGCUAGCAACUGAUACAAUUUGUCCCAGGUGUGGUGAAAGAGCUAAAACAAUGGACCACUUAUUUCGAGAAUGCCCUGUUAUAGUGGAAGCAUGGACAGCAUUGACAUUACAGCAUAUUGUAAGGAUACAAAACAUGGACUUUGUACAGUGGCUUACCUGGGUGUUUAAUCAGCUAACCCCUUGUCAAUGCUGCCUCUUCUGCUGCGCAAUCUGGGCCAUAUGGGGAGACCGAAAUAAACGAAUACAUGAGAAAACAGUUAGUACUAUGAAGGAUAUUGCAAAGUUCAUCAAUAGUUACAUAAAUGAAUUUAAUGGUUUCGAAAAAAGAGAGUUAGAAAAAACAACAGAACCCAAUAGAUGGAGACACCCAACUGGCGAGUUCAUAAAGAUUAACUUCGACGGUGCUUACAAUGAAGGUCAAAAUUGUUCGGCUUCAGGUAUCGUGGCUCGAGAUGCGGAUGGGACAGUUCUUCUAUCCUACUCCGAGAUCCACCAAGGUAUUGCCUCUGCAUUUGUUGCUGAAGCCAUAGCCUGUUGGAAAGUGGUACAAAUUGGAAUCGCAAAGGGAUGGCAGUCAAUCAUAGUCGAAGGAGACUCACUCGCAAUAAUAUAGAAAUGCAACACAGAAGGUCAAGAUCGGUCAUUGAUAGGAGCAUAUAUAUAUGAUAUCAAACAGCAAAUAAAGGAACCCAUUAAUAUCACUUUCAAGCACAUAUUGAGAUCUGCUAAUACUAUUGCACACAUUUUGGCAACAGUAACUCUAAGAAGAAAGGAAGAAAUAUACCUGGAAAGGGCAGUCUCUGAGAACGCUGAAGAACAAAUGAGACGCGAAUGGGAGCAUGAACCAGAUUAGGGAGUUUCUCAGUGGAACAGAGAGAAGAAGAGGAAGCUUCAAAACAAAAGAAAAUGAAACGUUCUAAGAGGAAAAAGCUUUCGUCAAAAAAGAAAUGAAAUGAUGGACUGAUGGGAUGACAGAUUUCAGAGAACCUGAUUGGGCAUUGGUUCGACGCAAUAAAUGCUAUUUUAGACUAUUCUAUUAUAAUAUCUAGAUUUUUUUUCUGGCCAUUUGAAUUCUUUAGGAUCG
This 1674-nucleotide long non-coding RNA is filed under the name Gossypium barbadense (sea-island cotton). RNAcentral describes it as "long non-coding RNA (GBAR_LNC009973)". The record is from RNAcentral. Lineage: Eukaryota; Viridiplantae; Streptophyta; Magnoliopsida; Malvales; Malvaceae.